RNAcentral lists this ribosomal RNA (443 nucleotides) under uncultured bacterium. RNAcentral's name for it is "bacterial SSU rRNA". It matches the Rfam family "Bacterial small subunit ribosomal RNA", at positions 338 to 796 of the family's 1533-position model. The record is from RNAcentral.
CCUACGGGAGGCAGCAGCAAGGAAUCUUCCGCAAUGGGCGAAAGCCUGACGGAGCAACGCCGCGUGUGGGAUGACGCCUUUCGGGGUGUAAACCACUUUUCUCGGGGAAGAAGCACUGACGGUACCUGAGGAAGAAGGACCGGCUAACUACGUGCCAGCAGCCGCGGUAAUACGUAGGGUCCGAGCGUUGUCCGGAGUUACUGGGCGUAAAGCGCGCGCAGGCGGCGGUGUAAGCAUGGCGUGAAAGCCCCAGGCUUAACCUGGGAGGGUCGUCGUGGACUGCACCGCUUGAGGGCGGUAGGGGCUGGUGGAAUGCCUGGUGUAGUGGUGAAAUGCGUAGAGAUCAGGCGGAACACCCGUGGCGAAGGCGGCCAGCUGGGCCGUCCCUGACGCUGAGGCGCGAAGGCGUGGGGAGCGAACGGGAUUAGAAACCCCUGUAGUCC